CCCAAUAAUCAAACAAAGCAAAUAUGAAAUAGAAAAUAGAACCAGGAACCAAAAUAAAACAAAAAUCUGAACUCAAAACAACAAGAACAAUAAUUACACGAUGCGCAAUCAAACAAAAGCAAACCAUAUGGAGAAGUGAAAAAAAAAUCAAAUGCUAAUUUCUAAGUAUCAAAUUCGCCAAAUAGUGCAAGUGAGAGAGACCCAAAAAAUGG
This 212-nucleotide long non-coding RNA is filed under the name Actinidia chinensis (golden kiwifruit). Its description in RNAcentral is "long non-coding RNA (ACHI_LNC000280)". Lineage: Eukaryota; Viridiplantae; Streptophyta; Magnoliopsida; Ericales; Actinidiaceae. The record is from RNAcentral.